This 2570-nucleotide long non-coding RNA is filed under the name Nicotiana tabacum (common tobacco). RNAcentral describes it as "long non-coding RNA (NTAB_LNC019182)". The record is from RNAcentral. Lineage: Eukaryota; Viridiplantae; Streptophyta; Magnoliopsida; Solanales; Solanaceae.
AAAUUGGUUACUAAUGUUGGUUCCAUUGGAUGUUGAUAUUGUAGAUUGAAGUUGAUUAGUAUAGUAGAUCGUUGUAGUAUCAUUAAGGGGUGAAUUUCAGUUUUGGAUUGUUGGCAUUGAAUUGAGGAGACAAGAAGGCAUUCAGAGGUGGAUACGCGCGGAAUGGAAUUUCCUGAGUAUUGAUUAGCUUGCUCGACGUUGGACUCAUCUUGUUGAGGUAAGUAAUACUUCUAAACUUGGAACUGAGGGUAUGAACCCUAAAUAUAUGUGUUAUGUGAUUUGGUUGGAGGUGACGCACAUGCUAGAUGACGGGCGUGUGGGCGUGCACCGUUGAAAUUAUGACGUAAUUGAUUUCGUGGAAUUUUAUAGUAAACUAAUCUUGGCAGUUUCCUUGUAUUGUCAUAUGUUAAAGGAAUUUGAGCUGAGAAUCAUGUUAAAAUCAUGCUGAGGAUAUAUGCCAGUAUUAUUGAGACCCAUAGAUGUCAUAUUGUUGUUGAAUUUAUUUAAAUUGAAAUUUGAAACUGAGUCAUGUUCAUUCAUUUAUAUCAUAUCUCAGUCUCUAUUCUUAUUUAUUGAUACAUCAUAUCAUCAUUCUUGGGUGUGAGAAUAUUAUGUAUACAUGUAUGGAUUUAUUAUGGAAAUAUGAGUAUGAAUAAGUAUUGGAACUCAUGGUAUAGUGAUUGGAAGCCAUAAAUUCUCAAUUUAAAUGAAUGCCCAUUGUAGAAAUUGAAAAGUGAUUAUUUGAUGGAAUUUUGUUGGUUGGGUAAAAAUGGUUGGUCACACAUGUGAUGUUAGGAUUAUAAGUUGUUAAAAAAUAAUGGUGGGAUGAAUUGUUGGUUGGUAGUUGGAAGAACUAAUUCUAUAGUUAAGAAAUGUAUAAAUGUAUGCCCACUAGGUGUUUGGUAAAUUGUCUAAAUGGUCUAAACAUUGAAAUUGGUUACUAAUGUUGGUUCUAUUGGAUGUUGAUAUUGCAGAUUGAAGUUGAUUAGUAUAGUAGAUCGUUGUAGUAUCAUUAAGGGGUGGAUUUCAGUUUUGGAUUGUUGGCAUUGAAUUGAGGAGACAAGAAGACAUUCAGAGGUGGAUACGCGCGGAAUGGAAUUUCCUGAGUAUUGAUUAGCUUGCUCGACGUUGGGUUCGUCUUGUUGAGGUAAUUAACACUUCUAAACUUGGAGCUGAGGGUAUGAAACUUGAAUAUACGUAUUAUGUGAUUUGGUUGGAGGUGACGCACAUGCUAGAUGACGGGUGUGUGGGCGUGCACCGUUGAAAUUAUGACGUAAUUGAUUUCGUGGAAUUUUAUAGUAAACUAAUCUUGGCAUUUUCCUUGUAUUGUCAUAUGUUAAAGGAAUUUGAGCUGAGAAUCAUGCUAAAAUCAUGUUGAAGAUAUAUGCCAGUAUUAUUCAGACCCAUAGAUGUCAUAUUGUUGUUGAAUUCAUUUAAAUUUAAAUUUGAAACUCAGUCAUGUUCAUUCAUUUAUAUCAUAUCUCAGUCUCUAUUCUUAUUUAUUGAUACAUCAUAUCAUCAUUUUUGGGCUAAUUUUCAUGAUAUUUUCGAGCCCGAGAGACUGGAGAGAUUGAUGACUGAGUGAGGUCAAGGGCCUGAUGGUGAGGAUGUUUAUGGAAUCGGACUGUACGCCGCAACAUGUUUUAUUGAUUUAUGCCAUGAUUGGCUUGUUAUAGCGCUUGGGCUGAAAGAGCCCCUCCGGAGUCUGUACACACCCCCAGUGAGCACAUGUAUCUACUGAGUGUGAGUGUCGGGUGCGAGUGCCGAGUGAUUUGGGAGGAUUGAGUGACUGUGAGGCAUGAGUGACUGUGAUGAUUGAGUGAUUGGGAGGACUGAGUGACUGAGAGAAUUGAGCGACUAGGAGGGCUGAGUGAAUUGAUACUCUGAGAGUAUGCAUAUGGUUUUAUCACUAUGUUGUAUUGCAUUGGUAUGCACAUUGACAUGCAGGCAUGGAGAUGUACUUUUCUCAUGCCAUUUGAAAAUGAAAUUUUCUAUUGUGGAAGAAAGUUUUUUUUUGGAAAAAAUCACAGUUUUCAGACUUACUCAUAUUUUGGUGAUUUCAGUGAAGCAAAUUGAGUUUUACUAUUAUAUUUGAAAAUAAAAUAUUUAAUUUUUCGGAACUGUGAACGAGCUGAACAUUUUAUUAUUGAGUUAUUCUCUGUGUUGCCACAAUUUUAUUGUUAUGAGAUGUUACUGGAUAUGGGUGUGGACUCUGACCUUGGUACAGGCUCGUCACUACUUUCAACCUAAGGUUAGGUUUGUUACUUAUUGAGUACAUGGGGUCGGUUGUACUCAUACUACACUUCUACACCUUGCGUGCAGAGUUUGGAUGCUGAUGUUGUUGUGCAUGGCGGGAUCUAGCAUUGAAGAUGUACCUGCUAUCCAGUCACAGCUGCCUCUUGUUCUUGGUAGCUUUAGAAUAAUUAAUCCGUUCAUGUAUAUUUCAAACAGAUGAUGUAUUUUAUUUUAUACCAGCUUUGUAAAUUCAAAUCUUAUAAACUCAUGAUUUGUACUACCAGUCCUUGGGAAAUGUAUUACAGUCAGUUAAAUAUUAAUUGAAUCGGAUUAUU